ACAGGAGCUAAGUGAAUGAGAAAGGAAGCCAUUAGGUCAGAGAACAAGAUAGAUUAGUCUUUUUUAGGUCUCUUGUCUUCAAGAGUUUAGGGCAGUAAUGCAAAUAUUAAUAAUAUGGAAAUAGUUCUUGAUCAAUGACACAUGUAAAACCCAGUGGAUUUGCUCAUUGGCUACAGGAGGGGGUGGGAGGAGGGAAGGGAAAGAACAUGAAUCUUGUAACCAUGGAAAAAAUAUUCUAAAUUAAUGAAUUAAAUAAAAAUUUUCAAAUUAAAAAAUUAAAAAAAAAAAAGAGUUUGGGGCACUUGAGGCUGACCCUUCUCUUUGAUCAGGAUGGAGAGCUUGGGCUCGAGCAUCAGGCCCAUUGUGCAGUUGGAGGCCCAAGAUAGGCAUGGGAGCAAGGCCAUAUUCUUGAGUGGGGAGGGCCUCCCUCCUGACAAGCUUUUUUAUAGUAUAAGUUUUCUCCUCCAUGGUGGUGGAGAUUAAGGCAGCAGGCCAGUCUUUCUUAGGGUCUAAAUAGCUUUGCCCUUGAUUGACUCUUGUUGAAGUCAUCAACUCUGCCCAAGAAAGGGGUGCAAGUAGUGAGUAUUGGGUAGAAGAAGGAGAAUCCUCUGUCCAGAGGGGUCUCCAUCUGCUUUCUCCCCAAACCUAGCAGAAGAAGGAAAGCAAUGGCCAGGUGAUCAACAUGGGCAACAGUGGUGUCCCUCCCAAUCCAACCUUCUCAAACAGCCUGGUUCUCAGCCCCAGAGGAAGGGGGCUCACUUACUCUGUGAUACUCUGACCAGCUCAGUCACAUUCCAGACCCCAGAGGUCACAAAGCAGUCCUGGAAACUUAAGUGCCCUAUAAGGGAGAAGAAGACAAGUAAGCCAAGGGGAGGGAGAGAAGGAGACUCUCUCCCACUUCUCCCACAUUUGCCCUGGAAAGUCAUGGCCCAGAUGUCAGCAGAGGGGAACGUUCCAAGAGAUCUCAGGAGAAGGAGGUCAGAAGAGAAGAAAGGGGGUUCAAACCAAGACAUGGAUGAAACUGAGGAAAGAAUUCAGCUCCCAGACCAGGCUUUGGAAGGAGCCGAUGAGAAAAGUCCCACUUAAUGAGGAAUCAGACUAAAGGAGCUGCAAAGAAGGAAUAACUUCUCUUCUAAGGAAGUGCAAAGCUAAGAGAUAGAAGGAAGGCCUAACCUAACUCGGAGGAGUCCGUGGAGCUGAAGACCCACAAAGUCACACUUCAAACCUCCCAGGAGCUGGCUCUGAAAUUCCCCUUGGAAGGGACACACCGCUAGAAUUGCCCCAUCCCAUUCCCAAAUCAUCAGGUGAAGCCAAGAACACACACGCACACGCAGGCAGACAAAAGGAGAGAGACACACACAGGCAGAGACUCAGAGAGGGAAUGUGGGAAAAGAGCAGUCAGGAAAUCAUUUCUCCUCUCGGAACUCACCCAUAAACAUUAUUAUUAUCAUGA
Long non-coding RNA from Monodelphis domestica (gray short-tailed opossum), 1453 nucleotides. RefSeq lists it as uncharacterized. Lineage: Eukaryota; Metazoa; Chordata; Mammalia; Didelphimorphia; Didelphidae. The record is from RefSeq and is a predicted model, not a curated record.